Long non-coding RNA from Ricinus communis (castor bean), 5636 nucleotides. RefSeq lists it as uncharacterized. The record is from RefSeq and is a predicted model, not a curated record. Lineage: Eukaryota; Viridiplantae; Streptophyta; Magnoliopsida; Malpighiales; Euphorbiaceae. The transcript has 2 exons.
CAAGUUAUUUAAGGGUCUUGUUGGGAGUUAGAGUUUUUUUGCUUGAUUAGGUGAAUGAUACUUGGUAAAGAUGUCAAUAUUGAAUACGGGUUUUGCACAAGUUAGCCACGUCCAUAUCAUCUACCACUAGGAUUUCAAUAGUAGAACCAACAGCAAACUCCUCCUAGAAGGAGUAAUUUAAAGGAGAUGAUGCAUAAAUUCAUCUUCGCUUUUGAAACUCAAUUUUAAUCAUUAGAAACCACUCUUAGGAGCCAGUGAGCUUCGUUCAUAACUUAGAGAAUCAAGUGGGUUGAUUGUAAAACUCUUUAUUGAAAGACCAUAAGGAAGCUUGCCUAGUAACAUAGAGGCAAAUCCAAAGGAACAUCUUAAGGCUAUUACCUUGAGAAGUGGUAAGGAAUUAGGAAUCAAAGUGAAUGAAGCAGUUGAGAGAUCUACCAUAGUUGAAAAUCUAGUUACGGAAGGAAAGGGUGAAGAGGCUAAAGUAGAAGAAAAAGUAUAAGCAAUAUCAAAGCCUACUCCUAUUAUGAAGGAGUAUCAACCAAGGGUUCCUUAUCUAGCCCCUCUUUAGAAAGACCAAUUGGAUCCACAAUUUGGUAAGUUUCUUGAACUUUUUAAACAAUUGCAUAUUGACAUACCUUUUGUGGAAGGUUUAUCACAGAUACCUAAGUAUGCUAAGUUCUUAAAGGAACUCCUCUCUAAUAAGAGGAAGCUAGAUGAAGUGUCAAUAAUGCAACUAUUAGAAAAGAGCUCGACAAUCAUUCAAAGGCGAUUACCAAAGAAAUUGAAAGACUUGGGGAGUUUUAUAUUCCUUAUUUUAUUGGUAAUCUAAAUAUUGAUAAUGUAUUGGCUGAUUUAUGAAACUAGGACUAGGAGAACCUAAACUAACUCUCAUGAGUAUUCAGCUAGCUGAUAAAUCUGUUGUGUACCUAAGGGGUAUCAUCGAGGAUGUGUUGGUUAAGGUUCAAGAAUUUAAUUUUUAUAUGAAUUUUGUAAUCAUGGAUAUGGAUGAGGGUAUUGAUUUUUUCUUAUUUUAGGUAGUCCUUUUCUUGCUAUAGCUAGGACCAUUACCGAUGUUCAUGAUGGUAACCUUAUUAUUAUGAUAGGAGAUGAACAAGUAAUCUUUCAAAUUUCUAGUGCAAUGAAAACAUCCACUUGUACUUAAUGACAUGGAUUUUGGUGAUGGUAAGAUAGAGCAUGAAGCUGUAAAUUUUAUUUUAUCUAUUGUUGGUAAAGAUCCUCUUGAGUUGUAUCUUGUGUAGGAAUAGAAAAAAUUAGAAACAAUAGAAGCUUUGGAGAAGUUAGUUCUGAGUUGAUAGAGGAACAAAAAGUUAGGCUAUUGAAGGUUUUGAGAAGGCGACAAAAGACCAUAGCAUAGAAGAUUGCAAAUAUCAAGACGAUUAGCCCUUCCUUUUGCAUGCACAAAAUCCUAAUAGAAGAGGAGUUUAAGACUAUGGUGCAACCUCAAAGAUAUUUAACUAAACAUGAAAUAAGUAGUGAAGAAGGAGGUGAUCAAACUUUUUGAUGCAAGAAUAAUUUAUCAUAUUUCGGACAGUUCUUGGGUAAGCCUAGUCCAAGUAGUGCUAAGAAAGGAGGCAUGACAGUUGUGGUAAAUAAGAAUAAUGAGCUUAUCCCAACAAGAAAAGUAAUAGGAUGGAGAGUGUGCAUUGACAACAAGAAAUUGAAUGAUGCCAUUAGGAAAGAUCGCUUCUCAUUGCCCUUUAUAUGAUGGGUUUUGCUUUUGUAGGAAUUUAACUUGGAAAUACAAGGCAAGAGAGGGGUAGAAAACUUAGCAGCUGAUCAUUUAUCUCGCCUCGAAAAUCCUUAUUUGGAAGAGCUACAAGAGAAGGACAUCAAUGGCCAUUUUCUGGAUGAGCAAUUGUAUGCCAUGAUAAGUUUGCUAAGUGGAUCAGAAUUUUGCAUUCCAUGGAUAAUGAAGAGUUGUAUGGCAUGGCCAAAAACUAUGAGCAUUCUUGGUCAUUGUCAUUGUGGACCAGCUGGAGGAUAUUAUCGAGCAAGUAGAAUUGCACAGUAAGUGCUUGAAUCAGGGUUCUAUUGGCCAACUCUAUUCAGAGAUAGUUAAAGCUUUGUAUAAGAAUAUGACUAUUGCCAAUAGAUAGGUAAUAUAUCAUCUCCUAAUGGGAUGUCCCAAUAAGGUAAUACUUGAAUGUAAAAUUUUUAUUGUAUGAGGCAUUGACUUCAUGGGACCUUUCCUUAAUUCUUUUGGUAACAAGUAUAUCUUGGUAGUUAUCGAUUAUGUGUCUAAAUAGGUACAAGCACAAGCUUUGCCUCGAAAUGAUGCUAGUAUAGUUGUGAGUUUCUUAAAAAAGAUAUUUUGCAAGGUUGGCACCCUUAAGGGAAUUAUUAGUGAUAUAGGCACACACUUUUGUAAUGCUUAAUUAAAAAAUGGGUUAAGAUGUGCUGCAUCAUAUACAAAUUUGCCACCCCCUAUCACCCCUAAACUAAUUGCCAAAUUGAGAACAUGAAUAGAGAACUCAAGAGAAUUCUUGAGAAGACCGUAGAGCGAUAUAGUAAAGAUUAGUUGAUGUGACUUGAUAACACUCUAUAGGCUUAUAGAAUUGCUUUUAAAAAACUCUAGACACUACUCCUUAUAUACUAGAUUAUGGAAGAUCUUAUCAUCUACCUGUAGAGAUUGAGCAUAAAGCGUUCUGGGCUAUUAAAUAGGUUAACCUUGAUCUAGCUAGUGCAGGAUUGAAAAAGAGUUUACAGAUUAAUGAGUUAGAUGAGUGGAGAUUACGUAUGUAUGAGAGCGCUCAUCUAACCAAAAAGCGCAUAAAGAGAUGGCAUGAUGCUCAAAUUAAGUCGAAAGGAGAGUUUUAGCUUAAAAACAAUGUACUUUUAUUCAAGUUGAGACUCCGGCUAUUCCUAGGUAAGUUGAAAUCAUAUUAGUAAGAUCCAUUUGUGGUAAAAUAAGUUUUUCCAUAUGAUUCGAUUACAUUAACUCAACUUGAAAAGGGUGAUUUUAUGGUUAAUGGACAUAGAUUGAAGCUAUAUUUCGGUGGAGAGUUUGAUUUGAGAAAAUAAAUGUUAUAACUUCUCGAAUCAGGAUAAAAAAUCACAUAAGUGUGUAGCUAAAAUGACAUUAAAGAAGCACUUGAUAAGAGACGACCUACCAUUUUAAAUUUAUUACGAAUUUUUCUAAUUUUACUUCUUUUGAUUUCGUUAUUUGUGCUUUUUACUCUAGUUUUUUAAGUUCUUAAUUCAUUUUUAUUUAAAUAAUGCAUAAGUUUUGAUGUGAAAUUGAUGUGAAGCUUGCAAGAGUUUUAAAAUUCUUAGGAAAAAAUUCAAAAAGGACCCACAUGGGGACCAUACGGGAACUGGCAUGGCCGUGUGAGUCCCUUAUACUUCAAGAUGAAAAGGAUAGCAUCUUCCAAAAGUAACACGGGGAGUACACUGGCUCUUUACACUACCGUGUGACUCCCUUGCAUCAAAAUUUUUUUUGGAAGAAAUCUCAAAAAUCCACACAAGGAGUACGCAUGAAGACGCACAACUAUGUACUCUAUAAAAGCCAAAGGGGCAGAAGCUGCAGAAAUUGACACAGGGAGACGACACUACUGUGUCUCCCCCAUGUGCCUCAAUAACACAAAAAAAGGAAAAAGAUCAACACGCUGACACCGAGGACGUACACUGCUAUAACAAAUGAUUUAAAACACUUCUCUCCCUUUUUCUUCGCACAAAACUCAAAUCCCUAAAGCCUUUCUCUCAACUCUUUUCUCAUUUUUCGAUAUUUUUCUGCUUCUCUUUCUCUCUAAACACCAUUUCUCAUACCAUUUCACUUGCAAAUCAAUACAAACAUUAACUCUACUAUCUCAUUUGCUUUAUUUUUGUAUGGGUUUCCUUGGAUUGCAUUAUUGUGUGCCAUUUGUGUGUUUUCUUAUGUUUUCUACAAAGAUAGUCACGCGUCCUAAGAAGAACACUACCAAGAAUAGAACCUUCACUCAAGUCCCUUUAAAAUGCCCAAGAAGUGGGAGUUCUUCAUCCCAAGCCCCUCAGAAGCUACACUACUUGUGUCAUUUGAUAGGAGCCAUCCUUCGGUUCAAUUUAAUGACCCAAUCUCAAGGGCUCGCUUUGAGCAUUUGGCCAAAGAAAAGUUCUAACCAACUAUGCAUUUCGAUUAGGUUUUCAUGAGCUCUAUUGGGUUUAAAGAGCAAUUGAAGAGUUGGGUAACACAACCAGCAUGGAAGAUGUUCUUCGAAAUCUCAGAGCCGACAUAUAGGGAAAUAACUUUGGUGUUCUAUUGCUCCCUCUGAUUUGAAGUGACUCAAAAUGUCGACCAAAUAAAGAAGAGUGUCCAAUCUCAACUUAGGAGAAAAAAAUUUGAUACGUGCAUCAACAAAUUCAGGGUUGUUAUAGGUAUCUAUACCAUGAAGGAGGUAAAUAUCAAGGACUAUAAGCAUGCUCCUUUUAAGUUUUAUGGAACUAGAAAUGCAGGGAGGGUAUGGGCAAAAUUGGCAGCUAAUGCACCUAGGUACGUCAUAUCUAAGUCAAAAGCAUUUGCACUUGAAUCUUUUUUAUUAAGAUUUUUGCACUUCUUGUUAACAACCACAAUUACAGGUAGGAGUGAGAGUGGUGGGCAUUGCUUCUAACAAGACCUUUCCUAUCUAAUGUGCUUUAAUAAGAACAUUUGGUACAAUGUAGCCCUUGUGGUUGUUGAUUUACUUUACAAAUAGGGCUAAGAAACUGGACAAUGGUGUUUAGGCGAGGGAAUGUAUGUCACUAGGCUAGCCUAUAAUUUGGGAGUUUUUUAAGGUCUUUUGGCGAAGACUUUGGACGGUCUCCCAAAAUUGAUGGGGUAUGAGACUCUAUACCGGAUGGACAAACAUAGGUAAAUCUUAUUUGUGAUACCUCCUCUACAAGAUGAAUUUCUUUUUAACACGACAAGAGAGCACCCGGUACCUCCUCCUACUACCAAAGGUAAUUUUGGUUUGAGUAAUGAUUUAAUUGUAGCUAGAGCCUCAUCCUCUUUAUUCUGCCCUCCACCUAGUGGAGCUUACUGCGAUUGGAUGGGGUAUAAUUUUGUUCAAUUGAAUGAGGAUAUGAAACUUAUAAAUUUUCAGUAGUAGAUUUGUGGACUUCAGAUGCAGAUACACGGACUCCAAUGCCAAGAUAAUAAGCUAUUUCAUAACCAAACUCAAAUGAUGGGUAUGUUAAGGAAUCAAUAGGAAAUGAUACAGAGAUAGCAAAUGAGCAUGGAUUGACUCUAUAACUCAAUGAUGCAGGGUUGGUAGUCUUAGGGUCACACUCCACCAAGACUGCCACCUAAUUAUCAGACACACUAGGUCCAACUGGAUGAUGGAGCUAGUCUACAUGAGGUUGAUUCAGAUGAUAGCGAAGGAGAUGGAGAUAAAGAUGUAGCCUAUGAUACCGAUGACAUCAAUAGUGGUAUGGAGGGUUGAGCCUCCAUUUUUAUUAUUAUUUUAAUAAUUUUAUCUUAUUUUAUUUGAUUUUUUAUUUUUCUUUAAUUUCUGGAUAAUUAUACUUAAGUAGGGUAUUUAUUUCUAUAUUCUGUUUUUGAUGUUUUUCUAUUUUGUUUUAUAUUCUGAUCGGAUGACUAUAGUAUACUAUAACCUUUAUUUUUAUUCUUACCUUUUCAAUAGAUAAAAAAAUGAUUAUUAAAA